Phyllostomus discolor (pale spear-nosed bat) is the source of this 737-nucleotide long non-coding RNA. RefSeq lists it as uncharacterized. NCBI's taxonomy places the organism in Eukaryota, Metazoa, Chordata, Mammalia, Chiroptera, Phyllostomidae. The transcript is spliced from 3 exons. The record is from RefSeq and is a predicted model, not a curated record.
AGGGCCUCUGGAAGUCUGGUGACUGGUGGUGGCCGCUCAGUAUGGGGGCCUGGCUUUGUUUUUGCCAGGCUGGCCUUUGGGCUGUUGGGUUCUGGCUUCCCAACCCAGGUCACAGGUGAUCAUGCUGCUAGAGUCCUGAGGAGAUUCCGAAUGCUCUUGGGACUCACAACACUAUGCCAUGAACUGGAGAGUGAACAUCCCCAAAAAGCUUGCCCACCAGUAAUCCAGAUCAUCCUUGGGAAUACCAGGGUGGUGGAGGUUGGCUUCCCCAGUGGACUCACACCUCCACAGGAGCUGUUACUGGAAAGGGAGCCCAUGCAGUGCUGGUAGUAGCUGUGGGUGGCCACAAGAAAGCCACUGGAGGGGAUAGCUGCCAUGCUUUUGCUUGUGGGCUGGUGAAAACAUCAUCUGCAGUGACCUCUUGUGGGUGCAUUCAUGGUGGCAGGGACUGGGAGCUAGACCAAGGAACCCAUUUACAGAGCAGACUGCGGGAUACCACUUCUCCAGAACUGACACUGCAGGGAGGAGAUGCCCCCGGAGGAGAUUGCCUGCUUCUUGAGGUGCACACAGAGGAAAGACCACAUGAGGACGCAGGGUAAAGGCAGAAUCUACAAGCCAGGAAGAGAGGUCUUACCAGAAAUCAACCUUGAUGGCACCUUAAUCUUUGACUUCUAACCUCCAGAAUGUAAAGGAUGAGAAACCAAAGAAAAGCACUACUUCAGCUUUUACUUCAGAAG